GAGUUUGAUCCUGACUCAGAACGAACGCUGGCGGCAUGCCUAACACAUGCAAGUCGAACGGGAUCCAGGCUUCGGCCUGGUGAGAGUGGCGGACGGGUGAGUAACGCGUGGGAACCUGCCCAAUGGUCUGGGAUAACCGCGGGAAACUGCGGCUAAUACCGGAUAAGCCCGAGAGGGGAAAGAUUUAUCGCCGAUGGAGGGGCCCGCGUCCGAUUAGGUAGUUGGUGAGGUAACGGCUCACCAAGCCGACGAUCGGUAGCUGGUCUGAGAGGAUGAUCAGCCACACUGGGACUGAGAUACGGCCCAGACUCCUACGGGAGGCAGCAGUGGGGAAUUGUUCACAAUGGGCGCAAGCCUGAUGACGCAACGCCGCGUGGGGGAUGAAGGUCUUCGGAUUGUAAACCCCUGUCGAACGGGACGAAAGACUCGGAGCUAAUCAUCUCGAGAGUGACGGUACCGUUAAAGGAAGCCACGGCUAACUCUGUGCCAGCAGCCGCCGUAAU
RNAcentral lists this ribosomal RNA (503 nucleotides) under uncultured Alphaproteobacteria bacterium. RNAcentral describes it as "bacterial SSU rRNA". It matches the Rfam family "Bacterial small subunit ribosomal RNA", at positions 9 to 524 of the family's 1533-position model. Lineage: Bacteria; Pseudomonadati; Pseudomonadota; Alphaproteobacteria. The record is from RNAcentral.